Molecule: ribosomal RNA, 468 nt
Filed under: uncultured bacterium
Lineage: Bacteria
Description: partial 16S ribosomal RNA
Rfam family: Bacterial small subunit ribosomal RNA
Source: RNAcentral
GACGAACGCUGGCGGCGUGCUUAACACAUGCAAGUCGAACGGAAAGGCCCUGCUUUUGUGGGGUGCUCGAGUGGCGAACGGGUGAGUAACACGUGAGUAACCUGCCCUUGACUUUGGGAUAACUUCAGGAAACUGGGGCUAAUACCGGAUAGGAGCUCCUGCUGCAUGGUGGGGGUUGGAAAGUUUCGGCGGUUGGGGAUGGACUCGCGGCUUAUCAGCUUGUUGGUGGGGUAGUGGCUUACCAAGGCUUUGACGGGUAGCCGGCCUGAGAGGGUGACCGGCCACAUUGGGACUGAGAUACGGCCCAGGCUCCUACGGGAGGCAGCAGUGGGGAAUAUUGCACAAUGGGAGGAAGCCUGAUGCAGCAACGCCGCGUGCGGGAUGACGGCCUUCGGGUUGUAAACCGCUUUCGCCUGUGACGAAGCGUGAGUGACGGUAAUGGGUAAAGAAGCACCGGCUAACUACGUG